AUGAGUUGGAAUGUGCGCGGGUUAAACUCACCGGCCAAGAGGGAGGCAGUGCGUGAGGUUGUCGCGGCACACCGUGCUGCCAUCCUCUGCCUCCAAGAGACGAAAUUAGAUGCUUGGACCCCAGAUCUCGUGCGCGACAUCGGUGGUGGCACCCUGCUCGGCUGCGCCGUGAUACCAGCCAUUGGUACACGAGGAGGCGCAGCCAUUUUUUGG
This 213-nucleotide ribosomal RNA is filed under the name Triticum aestivum (bread wheat). RNAcentral describes it as "partial small subunit ribosomal RNA". Lineage: Eukaryota; Viridiplantae; Streptophyta; Magnoliopsida; Poales; Poaceae. The record is from RNAcentral.